Molecule: ribosomal RNA, 497 nt
Filed under: uncultured bacterium
Lineage: Bacteria
Description: partial 16S ribosomal RNA
Rfam family: Bacterial small subunit ribosomal RNA
Source: RNAcentral
UAUUCCCUCUGGCGGCGUGCCUAAUACAUGCAAGUCGAGCGAACAGACGAGGAGCUUGCUCCUCUGACGUUAGCGGCGGACGGGUGAGUAACACGUGGAUAACCUACCUAUAAGACUGGGAUAACUUCGGGAAACCGGAGCUAAUACCGGAUAAUAUAUUGAACCGCAUGGUUCAAUAGUGAAAGACGGUUUUGCUGUCACUUAUAGAUGGAUCCGCGCCGCAUUAGCUAGUUGGUAAGGUAACGGCUUACCAAGGCAACGAUGCGUAGCCGACCUGAGAGGGUGAUCGGCCACACUGGAACUGAGACACGGUCCAGACUCCUACGGGAGGCAGCAGUAGGGAAUCUUCCGCAAUGGGCGAAAGCCUGACGGAGCAACGCCGCGUGAGUGAUGAAGGUCUUCGGAUCGUAAAACUCUGUUAUUAGGGAAGAACAAAUGUGUAAGUAACUAUGCACGUCUUGACGGUACCUAAUCAGAAAGCCACGGCUAACUACGUG